GCACUAUUGAAAAUCAGGUGUGUUAUACUUUAAAGAAUAGUAAAAAAGUAUAAUAAUGCCUUAUAAUUAAGAAAUGGUCAUUUGAUGUACGUGAAAAUAGAGAUAUCUUAGAAAGUGGCUAAAAAUUGCUGAUAUUUAAUUCUGUAGUGUCUUUAACCUAAAAAAGCUAAAUUUUCCAUAUAAUGUUGACUGAAUCUUAAUAAUUUCCUAAUAUUAAAUAUUAUUCACUUUCACAUUUUUCUCCUCAUACCAUUUUUCUUAUGAUAAAAUUAAUAUAGUUUUAAAACAGAAAUAAUACUAGAAUUUCAGUUACACAGUAUUAACUAAAAAUCUGAAUGUUUAGAGGUAGAUUUCUGUAUGAUAUUGAUUCUGAAUGCCACCCAAAGUGAGUUGUCCUCUUUAUUUCUAUUGUUUUUAUGAUUAUUUGAAUUCUGUGGAUGUUCUGAUGAUAAAUGAGAGA
This 460-nucleotide long non-coding RNA is filed under the name Bos taurus (domestic cattle). RNAcentral's name for it is "long non-coding RNA NONBTAT006701". The record is from RNAcentral. Lineage: Eukaryota; Metazoa; Chordata; Mammalia; Artiodactyla; Bovidae.